RNAcentral lists this ribosomal RNA (301 nucleotides) under uncultured bacterium. RNAcentral describes it as "partial 16S ribosomal RNA". It matches the Rfam family "Bacterial small subunit ribosomal RNA", at positions 509 to 807 of the family's 1533-position model. The record is from RNAcentral.
CAGCCGCCGCGGUAAUACGUAGGGUGCGAGCGUUAAUCGGAAUUACUGGGCGUAAAGCGUGCGCAGGCGGUUCGUUAAGACAGAUGUGAAAUCCCCGGGCUUAACCUGGGAACUGCAUUUGUGACUGGCGAGCUAGAGUAUGGCAGAGGGGGGUAGAAUUCCACGUGUAGCAGUGAAAUGCGUAGAGAUGUGGAGGAAUACCGAUGGCGAAGGCAGCCCCUUGGGCCAAUACUGACGCUCAUACACGAAAGCGUGGGGAGCAAACAGGAUUAGAUACCCCGGUAGUCCCUGUCUCUUAUAC